GAGCAGAAUUCAGCUUUAAAUAUGAACAAGAAAUCAGUUUUACCUACAACUAAAUCAACUGGAUUGUCAACUUUCACAAACCCUAGAUUACCCAUGUCCAUGUCAACCUCCACUCCAAGAUCGUCCAAGCCAGUAUCAAACGCCACUCCAAGAUCGUCCAAGCCAGUAUCAAACUCCACUCCAAGAUCUUCAAAGCUGGUAUCAACCUUUACUCCAAGAUCGUCUAAACCAGUAUCAACUUCCACUCCAAGAUCGUCAAAGCCGGUAUCAACUUCCACUCCAAUAUUGUCUAAGCCGUUAUCAACCUCCACUCCAAGAUCAUCUAAGGCCUUAUCAACCUCCACUCCAAGAUCGUCUAAGCUGGUACCAACCUCCACUCCAAGAUCGUCAAAGUCGGUACCAGCCUCCACUCUAAGACCGUCUAAGACAGGGUCAGCAGCCACCUCCAGGUUGUAUAAGCCACUCUCGACAUCAAGUCCCGCAUUACCCAAGUCGGUAUCAACAUCUGCUCCAAGAUUGACAAAGCCGGCAUCAGCUUCCACUUCUAGAUUGUCAAAGCCGGCAUCAAACCCUAUGGUGCGACCUGUAUCUCAAUCUUCAACACGAAAGCUAAAUGUAUCAACAGGGAGCAAAAUUUCUUCUGGAGCAGAAAUCAGACAAGCAGCUCCUACAGCACUUAAUAAGUCUCUUGAUAUGGUUACCUUUAGUCCAUCUAGACAGUCUUUUAUUAUGGAGCAGAUGGGGGACAAAGACAUUGUUAAACGAGCUUUUAAGUCAUUCCAGAACAAUUUAAACCAGUUACAACCAUCUCAUGUUGAAAAUCCAUGUGGCUCAAGGCCGGUUAGUCAUUCUAUAUACUGUUUUCCUUCUUUAGAUAACUAAAAGAAAAUAGCUGCCUCUCAGUCUUCCUAAUUUGCUUGACUACAAGUUUUUCUGUUCCUUGUUUGACAAUCUAAAUUAAGAGGUGCUGUAAUUUCCACCAUUUUGGGCAGAUAUCAGCAAGGGGGUCAUCAGAGCAUCAAGCUUCAAGUUCUGUAACUUCUCAGAAAGAGAAUGAAAGGUAGUCUUAAAGUCUUGUAUCUAACAACGUACAAUUGAGUGCAUGCUGCCAAUUUUGUUUACUUUUGAACAUAAAUUGUUGAAGCCCUUGAUGUUUUUGUAGAAUUGCUUAUCAAUAUGCAAUGCUUGUAUUAUCAUUAUAUUUUUGUCCAGCUUUCUCAGUUAAUUGCUUCUAGCAUUUAUGCUUUUCUUCACAAAAUUAUGCAACCCCCUUCCCCCAAAAACUUGCAUUUUACAAAUUGGUGAUCAGUGAUUUAGUGUGGAUAAAACUUUAAACCCGUAUAUAGCCUUAUUAAUCUGUUUUUUGCUCAAAAUUUUAAUAUGAGACUACUAUCCUAGAUUCCUAUAUGUUGAAAAUGCAUAUGUAUUUAUUAAUAUACAUGUUAUGGUACUUGUAAGCAACUAAAUAUGUAGUUCAAGAUCUGAAAUACCCUUUCUAUCUAUUCCUUGCAAUUCAUUGCAUAAUAUUCUUUAUAUGGAAUUUCUUUUUGUGGCCAGUAAUUUUCUCUUAUGACGAGUUGGUAUUGUACUUUUUAAGUAAUUUCUGAACCAAAUGUUAGUAUUUGAUAUCUUCUUAAGUUGCAUUAGUUGCUAAACUGUAUAACGGUAUAAGACCAUCCUAUUUUAUGUAUACUAGCUUAAUUAACUAAUCUCAUAAUAAAUACUCGUCUGUAGAACAAGGAAGGCAACAGGGAAGAUGAAUGCUCAAAAAAAUCUUACUGGAACUAAAUGGAGUACUACAUCAUCAAGGUAAUAUAUGAAAUUUGUUACUCAAUUAUCAGAAAAAAUUGUAUGAAAUUUUUUUUUCAUAAAGAAAAAAUGAAAAUUGUUGCUCUUGAAGUCAUAGAGAAAUCAUCAUUGUUUGAAGCACUCUCCAAGUCUUAUGACAGGAGUUAUUGUUUUUGAGAUAUAUAGCUUAUAAGUAGUCAUGUGUUAUACCUACUGAAUUCUAAUAUGUGUAAAACUAUUUUCUAACAUUAUUUUCCUUUAAAAAUGUGUGUGCCCCAGCUAGCUAGCUUCCUUCGUUAUGCACAGUAUGUGAAAUUUGUGUAUGCUGCAAUAAUAUUUUCCUGAUUAUAAGCUGAUCAGCCAAUAUUAUUCUGAUUUUUAUGUCUUAGUGUCUGGCUAAGCCCUAAAACUAGCCCUGAAUAUCUCAGGCCUAUUAUAUUUAUCAAAUUAUGUCUAAUUAUAGAAAAUUUGUGAAGAAGCAGUGAUGCUUAUAAUAUGUGCUUAAUGAUUUUUAAUAGACUCAUAUUGUAUCUGGAAAAUAUUCACAUUAAUAAAGUACAUCUUUAUUUUUUUAAACCUUUUCUAAAUUUGCAUACAUAUUAUAUAUAAAGUAGUUUCUAUUUCUAUAGUAACUUCUUACAAUUCAUACGCUAUCUUGCAUGCUCAAUUUUUUAAUUUAAAGCAGGUCACUCGUAGAAACCGGGGCAGGAAUAUAUCUGAAGCCAGAUUCAUCUUCUUCCAGCCCAAUAAGUGAAGAAAGAGCAGAAAAGCGGAAAGCGGUGACUUCCCUUCACUAAUAGCCUUCUUUUCUUUCUGUUGUUGUCUUUGCAUGCACCUUACUAUGUCUUGUUCUUUUUAUUUUUUAUUUUUUUUUAUUUACAGUUUCUCAAAAAUCUGAAGGAAAAGUCUUAUGCCAGGGAAGAAGAAAAGAGACGUCUUAGCUCAGAACCAAAGGUGUUAUAUACUUCCAAAGUUGCCAAUAUGGAUGAAUAUUCUUAUCUUUUUCAUUAUUAAUUUAUGAUCAGACUUAACGCAACAAACUGUAAAUCCUAGUAGAAUGGUAUUUUAUUUUGACAUGUCAAACUUGACUUUAGAGGAGGAAGAUGCUGUGAUUAAGAUAGAGAUGUUCCAGCUGAACCUCAACCUUUGAUUUAAAUUUCUAGGAGGGCCACCCAGCUUCUAGCCAUCAAUCCUCAUAAAAUUAUUAGUUUUUCCCUUUUUCUCCCUUACCCGUAUCUGACAUUAGUAUGCUUGUCUUGACUAGAGGAAAAUUUAAGACGUACAGGGACCCAUCAUAAUUACAUCUUUAAACUGUGAAAGCUGUUUGUGAGUAAUAUUACUGAUUUGUUUUUGCUUUUUGUGUUUCCAUAAUAAUAUAAGGGAAGAAUAACAUCAUUUCUUCCAUAUAGUUCUACUGUUGUGGAAACCAGAGGAUGUUGUACCUAUCUAUUUCAAGUAGACCUCACAAAUCAUUCAUGUCAUUUACUUUCGUGUCGUGUAUUGUCGUGUUCCGUGUACUUGAAGGUGAAACCCAUAUCCGACCCAUUUAGAAUUCGUGUACCUAAUCACAAACCGAUAUCCAUUUUGAAGCGUGUCGUGUACUUUUCGUGUACAUUCAAUAUAAGUAUAAUAAAAAAUUUAAUUAAAAUAUAUUUAUAAAAUAUAUUUUUAUGUAUUAUUUUGUGAAAUAUAUAUUAAAUCUUUAUAUUUGCAUACGAUUUUGUACCAAUUGGUGCAUGUAUAUAUAUAUUGGCUAACAUUCCAGGGAGGUACUCCUUGUAUGGAGUUACAUAGUACAGCAUUGUAAAUCAUCAAUUUUAUUAUAAAUUUUAUUAUAGAAUACAUAUAAAACGUGAUUCUAAUACAGAAUACUAUCACAUAUAUCUAUUUCAAGUAAUUUAACACUUAAAAUCUAAGGAAAAAAGUUUAUUUUCGAAACUGAUUCUACAACAGAAUAAUUCUGGAGGAUUAUUAUUCUGUUAUAGAAUCGUGCUGAGAUAUUGCAUAAUUUUAGAUGAUUUUUGGAAUAAAAAAAUUGUAUAACUUUGUUUUUGACUUAAUAAUUAAAAUUUGUAAUUAUAUUCCAUAAAAAUAUAAUAGAUAUAUAUAUAUAUAUAUAUAUAUAUAUAUAUUAUGUAUAUAUUUGUAAUGGUGUGCUACGUAACUCCAUAUAAGAGGGUAUGCUACGGAGUGCUACCCUAUGCAUGUAUGUAUGUAUGUAUGUAUGUACUUAUGUAUGUAUGUAUGUAUGUAUGUAUUUCCUACAUGAAAAUAUACUUAUUUAUCUAUAAAUAUAUUUAUAUCGUGUACAUUUGUGUUGUGUCAAAAAUUGACGGGUCUAUCUGUCACACAGUUAUGGUUUUUUUUUUGGUAUACCGUGAAAAAUAUUGACUUGUUUGACUGUCACAAGACUCACACUGACACACCUCACAAUUUAUGAGGUUAUAUUCGAAAAUAAUAUUUUUUUUAAUAAAAUAUAAGUUAUAAAAAUUGAAUACUGAAUUUUGAAUUAUAUUAUAAUAUUUAUUUAUUUAUUUCGUGUAAGUCGUGUCGUGUACCCAAGCGGUAAACACAAAAUCGACACUACAUCUUGGACGUGUAUUUUGUGUCGUGUACAAAAAAUGCAAACACAAAUACUAAAUAUACGUGUCCUGUUUUCUUGUCGUGUAAAAAAUAGCCGGGUUUAAUUCCAAGUUAACUUGAUAUUUAAAUAGAUAGGUUACAAGUAUAUAAUCAGGUCCCUGACCAACACAAUCUAACAUAAUCUGCAUCUAAUUUUUUCAACUUUUUACGCUUUUCUAUCAGUGGAUAGGUUGGACUGUAAGAGACCUAGUUAAAUGUGCCAAGGACCUUAGCGCAAUUAUAUAUUUAUAAAUAUUUUAAUUUUAUCCUACAACUUGUUGAUGACGCCAAUUGUUUGAUAAUAAUGCAUCCUUAUUGGUAUGAAUGAUAUAUGAAGUGCAAAAUGAAAAAGCAAUGGUGCCGUUAAAACUAUUAAGAAUGAUCUGCUUUCUGUAGCUAAUAAACCUCUCUUUUUUGAUAUAUGAACCUAGUUGUCAGGUCCUGAUGGAGGGAUGGUGUUUGCAUUUAGGUCACGAACAGCAGUAUAGUAUUGACAACUGACAUCAGUUAUUAAGAAAAAUAUCAGUUACUAGAGUAAUUCAUGUCAUUUAAUGUUCAUUAUAGGUGUUUAAUUCCAUCUUUAUUAUUUAUCUACUUAAAACACUUCCUACUUUUUUCAUUUUGUUAUGUUGUAAACAAUUUUGUGGCAUUUGCAGGAGGCAGUUGAGAACAAUAUUGGUCAACAAAGCUGAAUGGCAUGCAUAAUCUUCGACAUCUCUAUGUAAAUCCCAGCCUUUGCGAGAUAAAAAGAUGUACUAUACAUGUGAAGUAGCACAAAAUUGCAGCGGGGAAGACCCCAGUUGACAAAAAGAUGCACUUAUACAGGAAAUUGUUUCACCGAGAAUCUACCGCAUUAUGAGUACAUUCUAACAGCAAGACAAUAUAGUAGCAUGAACUACCCGCUGAUGCUGGCAGUGGCUGGCUGAUUGUUUGGCCAGUUGGUCGUGUCUUUCAUACUGUCAGCAAACAACGACAGGGGAUGCUAGGGUCUCUAAAUUUCGAGUUUGCAUUUUAGAAUCAUAAAAGCUUCUCUGAAAGCGUUGUACUUCAUUACAUCGUUGCAAUGCUAGUGCAAUAGAUAAUUAUGAAGAAUUGGAUCUGAAUGUGCAAAUAUUUAAACUUAGUUAUCUUAAAAUAUUGUACUCCCCCCCUUAAAAGUAUAAUAGUAUUACCUUUCUUGCAUAUCCUACAGAAAUUCGGAUAUUGUUUUUUUCUAUCUAAUCUUGAAAUAAUUAAUAAUGUUCUUUCGAUCCUGUGGUGCUAGGAAAGGUCCUCUCAGUGCUCCACCGCUCAUUGGUCCUGUAAUAUGGAUAGAAGAAUGAUACAAGUUGUUAAACAGUAAGCCUCUUGCUAGAUAAGAUCCGAGCAAAUCAAGAACAAGGGGCCUGAAAUUAACAUCAUUAAGGAGCAUUGCUAACAUACAUUUUAGAAUCAAAGAAUAAAACAAAGCUGAUAACCAAGUAAUCAGGAGUAGUUCAACAUCUUUCUUAAAGAAAUUUUGAAGGAAGAAUCAUCAAGUGACAAUCCUUGUAUGCAAAAGAAGAUAGAAUGGAAAAGAAUCAACACUUGAAUAAUAAGUACUAAGAUUGCACUCUCUGCCAGCCCUUUUCACCUCUGCAGUAUGUACAAUCUUAUCGCUCCCUAACGGAGAACUUGAGUAGGACACAUGUAAGGCUCCCGCAUCAGCAGUUGUAUCCGAACAGAUAUGGACGUUUAGGCUCGACCUAACAGAAAGAAUACAGACGCGUUUAAUCAUCGCGUGAAGCACAACAUUCCCACUGAAGCUUGAGGUCUACACAAGAUUUUAAUCAUCAUCGGAAUCACUAGAACUGCUCUUUGACUUGUCUGACAGGAAGUUUGGUGGCAAUAGAGGGAACUUUACAGAAUUUUUAUAUGCAGGUGAAGUUGAUGUCGUUGCGGUUUUUCUCUUCUGCAUAUUUCUGGUUAUGUCAAUACAGACUUGAUCAACCAUUCCAAGAAAAUCUUUAACUACAACAAAUAGCUGAAGUGGUUGUGCCCCUUUGUCCUUUGAUGCUCCAGCUUGGUAGUAUUCUGUCGUUCUGUUUACGAGCUCCAUUAUAGCUGUGAACUCCUUCUUUACUAUUCUUAGCUCUCCUUCAGCUGAAUCUAGGAAGAUUUUCAUCUCUCUGAUAAAACCUUCUCCUCCACCACUCAUUGCAGAUUCCCCCACAAGUUUUCGUAUUUCUGCAACAUCAUCGGAUAAAGUUGAACAAGCUUUGUGCAGAGCAUCAUAGUCUAGGCCUGCAGCUUUUUUCACAUCAGAGAACUGAGAACUGAUUCCUCCUACAAUUGGCAAGCCAAGCAUAAUAUACUCGUUUUCUUUAAACUCCUUGUCCUCGUUUGAGUUAGAAUUGUCUGUCGUUUUGUCUCUGCUGUUUCUGCUUCUGCUGCUCAAGCUGGAACUUCUAUUGAUCACACAACGUUUGCCUUCUGCUCGGACUACUUCUUCCACAACAAAAUGAAGCAGUGUAGUUUUCCCAUCCGUGCUCUUAACAUCAGAAAGUUUUCGAAGAGAAGUUAAGUUGAAAGCUUGUGCAUUCCCUCUUGAGGUUCCUGCAUUCAUUCGGUUUCCAGCCUUUAGAACGGCUUCAAGAAGUUUGAGUAACAGCCCACGAGUUCUCAGCUCCUUGCAGGCAGAUUCAAGUGUUUUCAGAGACUCUUUAAGGUGGAAAAUCUCAGAAUCAUAAUUUGAUCUAAACAACAGCGCACUAAAUCGACUAAAGGCAGAUGGAACGGCCUUAAGAACAUGGAAGAGAAAUGACUCCGCAUCAGCAAGUCUUGUGUGAUCGUCAUCAAAUGCCAGGAUUAGAGAUUCUUCUUCUUUGGUAGGGGCAAUUCUGUUAAGCUUUUCAAGGAUGUCCAACUCUAAAUCUUGGCCUUCGAUGAGAGCAUCAACUAUUUCUUUACGCGAAACAGAUAAAGAUCGGAGUACAAUAGAUAUGUUCUGAGACUUUCUGGCAUCAAGAAUGAAAAUUUGAGAGGGUGGACCUGUUCUUUCCCCUCUUGGACUUGACAUAUUGCUACCUCUUUUAGGAGAAUUUCGGGUAGUUGCCACUGAUCCGAAAAGGGCUUCCAUAAGAUCACCAUCAACCCUGAAUUCGGUUAAGAAAAGAUCCAAAAAACCUGUUAGAUGAAAUAGAUAACCAAGUUCAUAUAAAUAAUUUCAGAUAAAGAAAAUUAUUAUUACCUAAAAGAACCAGUUUUGACUUUGUCCCAGACCAUGGAAUGCUCAACAUUAGCAUUCACCUUGUCCCAAUGCAAGGGCUUAAAUUUCACCUGACCUUUUUCAUUAUCUGCAACUUUCUCCAGUGAAGACGGAACAGGUGGAGGUGGCUUAAUCGACGUGGUCAAACCACCUGGUUUAGGCGCUGGAGGUGGUGGCGCAGAUGGAGUCUUUUUGGGCAGUGGUGGAGGUGGUGGUAGUGGUAAUGCUGAUGAUGAAACAACAGCAGGAGCUGGCGGUGGAGGAGGAGGAGGUGGAGUUGGUGGUGGAGACCGCGAUGUAAGCUGAACUGAUGACCCUUGUUUCACAACGGUUUUGAUCUGACUUUUUUCGACAUCUGCAGGCCAAAUAUGAGAAGAGGAAGACUUCCCUCUAAGCAAAGGAGUUUCUUGAAUGACAGGCCUAGAAUUCUUGUCAACUCUGCUAGUAACCACAUUUUUCUCAUCCUCUGUGUCGAAAAACUCAUUUUUAUCAAACACCUCCUUGGCCUUAUUUUCGCCUUCCAAUUUUCUCCAAUACAACACAUCCAGGCCCUCCUCAUCCACAAUCACCCCCUUCAAAUUACCAUUAACUCUCACAAAAUCAUCCCCCCUACGCGUCUCAAUAGCGGUAGCAUUCUUGAAACUAGCAUUAGCAAUAACGCGAUUUUUCUUCUUAUGCAUGUACCUCUGCACCAUAAAGAAAAAUAAUGCAGAAAUAACAAUAGUACUUGCAGCUGUUGCAACAACUGCCUUAACCACAGCCUUUUUCGACGAGGACUUUGAUGCUGGUGGAGGCACUCUAGGCUGCUCUGCUCUUGUAUCUGGAGAAGAAGUAGCUGGUGGCUGAUUAUCAGUAAUAUUCGGUGUCGAAAAAAUCGGAGGAAGCCCAAAUGGAUAGAAAGUCUCAAUAUUCUGGGAAUUUGAUUGGCAAGAACAUUGAGGUAUAACAGAAAUACUGCAACAAAUAAUGAAAAUGUAAAGAAAAAAUGUCGAAAAUCGGAGCUUAAUCAUGUUCAUGCAACUUCGAAAAGAGCUCUGCAGAGAUUUUUCUGAUAUGAACUUGUUGUACCAAACAUUAUUUUGUGCAUGGCUGAUUAGAUUACAGCUAUUGUGGUUUGGUUUAUCUGGCUGACAAAAUCAAGAAAAGCAGGUGAAAAAGUUAGUUAUUUCCGUUGCUUUGAGGGUUCCUGGGCACUUCAUUUCUUGUGAAAUGACUACAAAGCCCUCCAUACGAAUAAAAAAUCCAGGCCGAUAUAUGGGUAAAAGGGUAAUUUAGUGAAUAUAUUUUCGAAAAAUAGAUCGGUGCCAAGGUGGUUGUGGUUGUUUUAUCUGACUUCCUACUAAUUGAAUCUUUCUUGCAAGUUACAUGGUUGAUUUGGUACCGUUUAGAAACUUUAAAAAUUGUUAUUUUUUAAUUAACCGAGAUUAAUUUGAUAUUAUACAAUAAUUUGACAUAUUUCAUGGUUGAUGUCACAUCAUAAAUUCAGAUUAUCAAUAAAAUCGGCCGGCUGAGAUAACAAACGUUUCGCACAAUACGAAGUCAACCGUAUGACUUGGUCAACAAGGAUACGGUAUUUCGGUUUUUUGUUGGAUUUAGCGAUUUAGGUCAGCUUCCUUCCAAACUAGCCAUCCAAAUGCUGUCGUUAUCGAUUUAUAACUAAAAAAAUUGGAUAAACGUAAGGGCAAUAAACCGGAUGAAAUCGGACACCCCUCUGCGUAUGUAUGAGAUCGUUUUAUUUCUAAUAUGUUCAUAUUUAGAGUAGCUUGUGAUCUCUGUCAAAAAAAAAAGAAAAAAAAGUAGCUUGUGAUCAUUUUAUUCGGAUAUAAACCGAUUACAAACUCAAACUCAACUAUCGGAUUAUUUUAUUUUUAAUAUAUUCAGAUUUGGGAUCCUUUUAUUCGGAUAUAGACCAAUCUUGGAUAUUUGAUGUCCCGAUCAAAACCAAAUAUGAGUCAGUUUCGUAUUAGUUAUUCUUAAGAGAGUACUUUAUGAUUCACUGAAUAUGAACCGAAUAUGAUCAAUUAACAUUAGAGAUUAUAUUAAUUUCAAUUAUUUAAAAAAUUAGCAUUUAAUUUGAAAUAAAUUUAAUAUUACAAAAAUUUAAUAAUUAUGAAAAUAAUAUAACAAAAGCAUACAAAUUACUCUUUUAUGAGAGUCGGCCGCCCAUCUCUCUUGACCCUAAUCGUCUCUAUCUUCUCAUCCAUCCACCUUUUCUGCCCAUCUCCAUCUUCAUCUAUUUCCCUUUCUUUCAUCCUCGAUUCUCUUUCUCUUUCUCAUACCAAUCUCAGUUUCUAGCCACCCCUUCUCCAUCCACACAUCACUUUUCUUACUUUUAAUUUUCUGUUAAUAAAUAUUCUCUUUUAUUUGUUUUUUUUAAUAAAAUCGAGUUUUGAAUCACAAAACAUGAAAAACCCAUUUGGUUUUUUCGUUUCCUUCAAUUUGUGUUAUUGUUUGUGUGUUUGAGUGUCUCGUUUCUUGCCAUAUCACAUGUGUCUCGCUUUAUGCGAUGUGUUAGUAAUGUUGAAAAUGUAUUUGACUAUAUAUUGGGAGAUCUGGAAAUUUCGCAACAAAAACACUUUCGGCAGGUCUAUAGCUGGUGUCUGUCAGGUAGAUAGUUAGGGUGUGUUUGGAACAGUAUUGGAAAUCACAUGGGUUCACCUUUCACAAAAAAUAUUUGUUCAUAAUAUGAGGCCUUUAAACUCAAUUUUUGCAACUGAGUCCUCUAAACUUUGCACUAUCCAUGAAAUUACUGUGAGGGUAAAUUGUGGAGCAAUUGUUUUUAGGAGAGAUGCACGCUGGAUUACUUAGAAAACCAUUAUCUUCAUUUUUAAUUUUCGGAAUAUUUAUAUUAAGCAAUUCGAAAAUAAAACGGCUCAUUAUUUAGUUCGUUGAUUUGUUUUUAACCUAGCUAAUAACAUGAUCAAUUGGGGAUUUGUCCCGAUUGAAUCUUUUUCAAAGUAUUAAUAAAAUCCGUUUUAAAUUUAACAAAAAAAUGUAAAUAAAAAAACUUAAAUUAAUAACCGAAACCAAAAUAUUGGCGAUGAACUCUUUAAUCCGAUAAUCUCCUCUUGAAUCGAAUAAAAAUGUAAACCGAAAGCUCCUAUGACAUAUAUCUAUUAUAUUUUACAUAAAUUAAUUAGAUACUCCUAUCAUCUUUUAUAAUUAAAACAAAAUAUAUUUAUAUACAUGCAUAAUAAUAUAAAAAUGUGUAUACGUAUGUUUUAUGAGUUGAAUUAAAUAUGUAAGAUACAUAAAUUCAAUUAAAUAAAGUUAGGAUAAUGAUGAUGUGGGAAAAAGAUAAUAGAUGAUGCUGAACUAGAAGAGAAAAAGUAGUUGACCUAAAUAUGCAUAGAGUAGUUUUCAUGUAUUUCAUGCAAUAACACGCAUUAUGAUAAAGUGGUUUGUUUUAUGAACAGUAAUUCGAUUUCUAUCAUUUCGUAUUUCUUUAUAUAAGAGUAAUAUAAUGUAGGAUAAUGUUCAAAAGAGAAGCAUUAGAGAGAACCCAUAGAAUCCUUUAGGUUCAAUAGCAGAACUUCACAUGCAAAAAAUGUCAAUAUCUAGGUAUUAUAUUUUAAAAUUAUUUUUGAACAUAUACAAUAAUGAAAAAACAUGUAUUUAGAUUUAGAUCCUAAAAAUUUAUUCAAAAUUUAGGAUUCUGCAGCAGAACCUUGAUGAUUCUCUGAUUCUAUUUUAAGGACUGGUUCUUUCUUGAGUGCGAUCCAUAUAAUUGAUCGUAUAAUUCAAAUUAAAAUAAUAAUAUAAAAUCCCUCUAUCCCACCUGAUGCUUUACAAUUUCCUUCUUGACGUCCCACUCAUUUCCUUACAUUACAAACUUUCCUAAAAUAGUUAAUGGAUCCCACCACUUUCACACUCCCCCCCCUUCACACUGCUUUUACUUAACUAUCUCUCUUUUAUAUACUCCUUAUCUCACAAUACAAGUCUCUUUUGAAAAAUCAGAUUUGACCGGCUGGAUAUUUUUGUUUCGUUUGUUAGAAAGCAAGCCAACAAAGUAGCCCACGUGUUAGCUAGGGUUGCUUGUAGGGGUGUACACAUGUUGGCGAAAUCGACCAACCCAAUCCAAACCGAUCAUAUUUCGGCCGAUCCAAUCCGAAAUUUUUUAACCCGAUUAGUAACUGGAUUGAAAUGGUAUUAACCCGAUUUAAUUUUAUGUCUUUGACAAGAUUGUUAAAGUAAUUUUUAAUGUAAAAAAUUUGAUAUUGAAGACCUAUUCGACACCGGCGAUUAUAACCAAACCAAUCCGAACCGAUCCAAACCGAAGUACUACAAAUUGGUUUGGGCUAUAAAUUUAUACGGUUCGGGUUGGGUUGAAAUUUUGAAAAUCCGAUUUAAUUGGGUUGGGUCAAAAAAUUCCGCUAACCCGCCCAACCCGAACCAUGUACACCCCUAGUUGCUUGUGAGGUUAAUAACUUUGUUGAUUUUAUGUAUCCUCCAUAAAUGGUGUUUGGAGAAUAUUAUGCAUGACGCUUUGACGAUAUAACGCAAUUCUGCGUUUAAAAAAAAAGGUAUAAUUUAAAAUACUAAGGCAGAGGGAAAUAUAAGGCAUAUCGGUGAUAUUGUUAUUUGUAAGAACCCGAAAUUAUAAGAGAGGGUUUCACUUGUGAUGGUGAUUCAUGACGAAGGAAUGCGAUGUGGAUGUUAGGCUAGCUAGAGAUUGUGGGGAUGUACCAACUUCAUGCUACCGCGUAAAUGAAGUGGUUGGAAAUUACGCUUACAUUUUGACCUUUGCCAAAGGGAAUUAAAGAUCGUAUUCAUGACUUUUGUUGAUUUUUAUAUAGCCCAACUAUCGAAUGUUCUCACUUACUCAGCUACAAUGUUGAUUGCAAUGGCCUUUUUUUCCUCCGAGUAGAUAAUCGGCUUUGAAAUUCAUUACAUAUUAAUUAAUGCUUUGUUGAAUUAACGGAGUACUAUUUCUUCCAUUUUAAAAUUGAUGUACACUUCAAAAUCACACAUGAUAAUGAGAAUUAUUUAUCAGUUUGAUCUUACUCCAUCCUAAAUUAGAUGACUUUUUUGUGAAAAUUUUUUAUUCCAAAAUAAUUGAGCUUCUCACUUUUCAAUGCAUAUUUAUCAACCAUUUUGAAAGAUGGUUGACAUAUAAAAAUGAAAAAUAUAGUGAAUGUCUUAAAAUUAUCAAUUAUUUUCGAACUUGUUAGUUCAAAGCUUAGAAGAUUGGUAUGAAAUUUUUGUGAAACUAAAUGGAACCAUGGACGCCCAUUCCAGGCUGAAUUCCAUUUCACUGAUAGAAGUUGGUCAGCUGGGGGCAUGUUUUCUUCUCACUGGUCAAGUGAAAAUGAUUAAAGUCAGAUUUGCAUGAAAAUUAAGAGUAUUUUCAAAAGAUUUUUUUUAAAUAAAUUCUUAGAUCUAAAUUUAAAAACAGGUCAAGAAUUAAUGUUAAAUUGAUUCUUAGAAAUUCUAUAAAAAUCUAGAAGUCUACCUUCUCUUUUAUUUUAAAGAGCAUCUAUUAGUUUUUAACUUUUUAUUUAUGAUUAUACUAUUGAUUUUCCACCAAUCUUCCAUCUUUUUUAGUUAAAUUUUUCCCUCUCAUUUAUACUAAAUAAAUAUAAAAAUAUAAAAAUAAUAAUAUAAAAAAUAAUAUUAAAAUUCUCAUAUUUUUUAAUAUGAAUUUUAUAUUGUUAUUUAAGAGAUAAUUUAGGAGCAUGAUGGGAGAUGCCUCAACAGCAUUAACCGCUCAGCACAGGCAAGAUACAAGCUUUUGACUUUGCGCUUUGACUUGCCACGCUUAGAUUAGAGCACUGCCGCGGGUCACUUCCCACGUGUCGGGGACCGGGAAUCUGGGAUAUGCAAAAUGGAUACGGGAUCGAUAUAUAUUCUUUUUGUCCACAAUUAAUCAGGUUAAAGAUUUAUCUUCUGUUGUCCCAGGUUCUGGGUUCGACUCUGGCUCACCCGAGAUUUCUGAGAACAGAUACUCACAUGUUAUAAGUUAUAUUUGUAAAAAAAAAAAAAGAUUAAUUUUGACUUGUCAUACGUAAUUUGAGAUGUAAGAAAAAUACUCUUCUGUUUUGAAAUAUAAGUCGUUUGACUUUUUGACACACGAUUCUAAGUCCUUUGACCGCAUAGUUAAAUUCAUUAUUUAUAAAAUUUUCUUUUUUCGAAUAAAAGUAUAUGAUUAAUAUUAUAAUUUGGAAAAAGAAAAUUUUAAAAAUAACAAUUUUAACUAAGCGGUCAAAAGACUUAGAAGUGUGUGCCAAAAAGUCAAGCGACCUAUAUUUCAAAACGGAGGGAGUAUAUCUUUACAUAACUUUAAAAUUUUCUUUUUCUACAUAAAAAUUUACCAUCUAUAUUUUUAUUAGGAAACGAAUUUGAAAAUAAUGUGUAGAAAUAUGUGUUUUUUACAUUUUAAAUUACGUAUAAAAGGUCAAAGACUUUUAUUUUGGGACAGGGAGAUUAUUAUUUUUUGCAUUAGUGGAAUGGUGAACAAGAGAACAAUCUCACCUAGGGGUGGACCUAGGAAAUUUUUCCUCCCCAGGCUGGAGUAAAAAAAAUUUACAAGCUAAAAAUUGUGUAAAAAAAAAUAAUAUUUCGUUUUUGCAACAAAAAAAACACAGAAAAUUAGUCAUAAUAUCUCAACUGGUUCUACUGCUAAACCAUAUUUUUCCAUAUAAAACAAAAAAAUUAUAGUACCCGUUUAUAGAGCACACAUAAAUUAAAUACACAAAACACAUUUCAAAAAUUUAAAUAGCUAAAAAAGAUAAAAACAUUAACUCCUCUCUUGAUGACACUGGGAUCACAUUCUUUACAAUAUUGUUAAAUUCGAUCCUAAAAUGCUUCCGCUUUUUUAUCAGUACUCCCUCCGUUUCAUAUUACAUGUCCACUUUAAAAAAAUCACAUAGUUUAAGAAAAGUGGAUUGUGAGAAAAAAGAGGUGUAUUAAGUCAUUAAUUGAAAAUAAUAUGUGGUGUAUGGUUGAUCUUGGAAAUAUAAGUUAGUAAUAUGUGGAGUAGAGUUGAUUUUGGAAAUAUAAAUUUACAUUGAAAGUUAAAGUGGACAAGUAUUUUGAAACAAAUUUUUUUUUCUAAAGUGGACAUGUAUAUUGAAACGGAGGGAGUAACAAUUAACGAAUCAAUUGACACAUUCAAUCAUGCACUUAUUAGUAUUUUAUCUUCUACCCACUUCCAGUAACCGGAGAUUUCACGUACAUGUUCACUUUUUUUGUAAUCAUCAUUUAGAUCAACAAAGUUUGUAUCACAGAAGGUCGACACCUGCGAAUCUAGAGAAUUUUGGAUAUUGAUAGGUGAUUGUUAGGUUUCAAAUUAUGAAUUUGGAAAUGGAGGAAAUGGGAAUGGAUAUAGAGAAUUUUGAGGAUGUGAAAACGAAAAUUGAGAAACUUGAGAAUGUGAAAAUGGGUGUUGAGAAUUUGGGGUUUGAGAAUAAAAAUUAAAAUUUUGUGGGUUCACAAAAUAACAAUUUGGAUAUUGAUAUGGAAAUUGAGGGUUUGGAUUUUGAGAAUUCGGAGGAAAGGUUUAUUUGGAUUCAUUUUUUGGGAGAGAAAAAUUAAUAUUUUUAUGAAGUAAAAAAUAUGAAUAAUGGGAUGAUUAUAUAUAGGAGUAAAAAUAGAAUCAUCAACAUCAUAAAUAAACUUUGAAUCAUAAGUAGAAUGCUUUACAAGAGUAUCUCAAGUGUAUUCACAAUAGGAAUGAUGAAUAACUUCAAGGGUUUUCAAUGAAUCAGGUAUAACAUGAUUGGAUUGCACAGCAUAUCAA
RNAcentral lists this long non-coding RNA (15374 nucleotides) under Daucus carota (carrot). RNAcentral's name for it is "long non-coding RNA (DCAR_LNC004911)". Lineage: Eukaryota; Viridiplantae; Streptophyta; Magnoliopsida; Apiales; Apiaceae. The record is from RNAcentral.